UUUCGGUUAAAUCUAUAUGCUCGACAUAUAGGCUGCCGGGAAUACUGCAAAGCUAGGGAGUGGGAGAGGUAGACGGUACUCCGUAGGAAGGGGUAAAAUCCUUUGAUCUAUGGAUGACCACCUGUGGCGAAGGCGGUCUACCAGAACACGUCCGACGGUGAGGGAUGAAAGCUGGGGGAGCAAACCGGAUUAGAUACCCGGGUAGUCCCAGCUGUAAACUAUGCAAACUCAGUGAUGCAUUGGCUUGUGGCCAGUGCAGUGCCGCAGGGAAGCCGUUAAGUUUGCCGCCUGGGAAGUACGUACGCAAGUAUGAAACUUAAAGGAAUUGGCGGGGGAGCACCACAAGGGGUGAAGCCUGCGGUUCAAUUGGAGUCAACGCCAGAAAUCUUACCCGGAGAGACAGCAGGAUGAAGGUCAAGCUGAAGACUUUACCAGACAAGCUGAGAAGUGGUGCAUGGCCGUCGCCAGCUCGUGCCGUGAGAUGUCCUGUUAAGUCAGGUAACGAGCGAGAUCCUUGCCUCUAGUUGCCACCAUUACUCUCAGGAGUAGUGGGGCGAAUUAGCGGGACUGCCGUAGUUAAUACAGAGGAAGGAGAGGGCCACGGCAGGUCAGUAUGCCCUGAAACUCUGGGGCCACACGCGGGCUGCAAUGGUAGUGACAAUGGGUUCCGAAUCCGAAAGGAGGAGGUAAUCCUCAAAUGCUACCACAGUUAUGACUGAGGGCUGCCACUCGCCCUCACGAAUAUGGAAUCCCUAGUAACUGCGUGUCAUUACCGCGCGGUGAAU
RNAcentral lists this ribosomal RNA (785 nucleotides) under uncultured archaeon. Its description in RNAcentral is "bacterial SSU rRNA". It matches the Rfam family "Archaeal small subunit ribosomal RNA", at positions 539 to 1323 of the family's 1478-position model. The record is from RNAcentral.